Molecule: ribosomal RNA, 215 nt
Filed under: Campeiostachys nutans
Lineage: Eukaryota; Viridiplantae; Streptophyta; Magnoliopsida; Poales; Poaceae
Description: Elymus nutans partial small subunit ribosomal RNA
Rfam family: Eukaryotic small subunit ribosomal RNA (bases 88-215)
Source: RNAcentral
GACCUGGUCGGGUGGUCCGCCUAACGGUGUGUACUGCCUGACUGGGCCUUACCUCUUGGUGAGCCGGCGUGCCCUUUAUUGGUGUGAUGGGAAAUCAGGACUGUUACUUUGAAAAAAUUAGAGUGUUUAAAGCAGACUAUCGUCUGAAUACAUUAGCAUGGAAUAAUGAAAUAGGACGGACUGAUUCUAUUUCGUUGGUUUCUAGGAUCACCGUA